RNAcentral lists this ribosomal RNA (329 nucleotides) under uncultured eukaryote. RNAcentral describes it as "partial 18S ribosomal RNA". It matches the Rfam family "Eukaryotic small subunit ribosomal RNA", at positions 1470 to 1796 of the family's 1831-position model. The record is from RNAcentral.
CCCUUAGAUGUUCUGGGCCGCACGCGCGCUACACUGACGAUGGCAACGAGUUUUUCCUUCGCCGAAAGGUGUGGGUAAUCUUUUGAAACAUCGUCGUGCUGGGGAUAGAUCAUUGCAAUUUUUGAUCUUGAACGAGGAAUUCCUAGUAAGCGCGAGUCAUCAGCUCGCGUUGAUUACGUCCCUGCCCUUUGUACACACCGCCCGUCGCUACUACCGAUUGAAUGGUUUAGUGAGGACUCCUGAUUGGCGCCGCCGCCCCGGCAAUGGAGCAGCGGACUGCCGAAAAGUUGUUCAAACUUGAUCAUUUAGAGGAAGUAAAAGUCGUAACA